GGCUAUGCAUGUGCACCAGAUAACUUAACAGGAUAUGUCCGAGUGUCCCAAAGACCUCGGAUAAACCACUUACAACUAGGACCAUGAUUAAGUAAACACAAAUCACACACCAACAAUUUGCAGCGAAAAUCUUAUUACCAAAUUUUAUAAGUUACAUCAAGUUUACAUUGUACAUGAUCGGAGUGAUUACAAAAGUGAUUCAAAGAAAUAACUUUGACAUGUUAUAAAUUAUUUAUAGUUUUGAAAUAUAUGCUAGCUCAAGUGACCAUCCUUAGUAAGAAGUAUAGAAGAAGUACUUAGACUUAUAAGAAGGUCGUGCCCACCAACGCUUAACACCAAUCACAAUCAAAGUGACUUGUAACCUGCAGGAACAAUGGGAAUAAAACCCUAAGUACGCAAGUACUCAGCAAGACUUACACGACUAAAUAAAGGACUCUCAAGGGUAUGUUGGUUAAAUAGGAAUCAAGGAAAAGGCUUUAGCAAGAAUCAACUUAGAUAUUUUUGCUGAAAUAGCUUACUAAAGUGAGUCCUUACCUUCAAUAUUUUAACGCCAGAUUAAAUAUUAAUAGACUCUGGUUGCAUCUAGUCUAAUUUCACCAUCUCAUCAGUACAACAUCAUUUUUAUUCAUAAUGUUUACAUCCUGACUUAGGUUGCAGGUCAGAGAUCAAGUCUCCACUCUCCAGGGAUGUAACGGCGAUCCGAAUCGAUUUACUCAGCUGAGGAUCUCUAACUACACAACAUAUGUUUCUCGUAACUCUUGCAUAUGCCUACCAUUCCCACAAAUCCUCCACUGCAUGAACAGGUCCGCACCACCCGAGAGCACACCACCCCUUUUAGGCGGUCCUUUGCCAAGAGGGUACAUGCCACUCUCGCCAUCUCUCCACUCCUAGUGCGCGAUUGUCUUUUCAUGUAUGGAAUAGCCGGGUUCAAGCUUACCCUGUCCCAUGUAACACCCUGAUUUUGGGGGUAUGAAAUUUCUGUCUAAUUAUCACCCAAAAUCAUGUGUUACUCUUCUUUUUCUCACUCUAGGUUUUCUCUCUCUAGAUUCAUUCUCCCUUUUUCCUUUUUGAUUAGAAAUAGCCUAAACUAGUGGAGGUUAAUUAUUUAUCUUUGCCAAAACAUUAUGAGUCAUGACAUGUUUCAUCAUGUUGAGUUUAAAAUAUUCUUUGAAGUGUUGCACAAGUUUGAAUUUAUUUGAAUUUGAAACCUAGUUUAAAUUUGGAUUUGAAAAACCUAGAGAGAAGAAAUGGAAAAGGAAUUAGAAAAUUCAGAGAAAAAGAAAAGGAGAAAGCAACCCAAACCAGCCCAGUCGGCCUAGCCAGGCCGCGCGCCCACGCGCCCGCGCCAUCUGAUAGGCGGACCUCGCCUGUCAGCGGCAAUUCUCCCUCGCGCGCGUAGUGGGCCACGGGUCGGCACCGGAUCCCCGCCUGGGUCCUGAUUAAGGCUCGGGUAUAUUCUGUCCGGAUCCCAUUCUAGAGGUCCAGUUCGCACACGUGGAGGUCCUGGACCCCCAUGGGAAGGUGCCGGACCGCCUAGUGGGGCCAACCUGUCAGCGCCAGUUUCCUUCGCCCGCGCGCUCUCUCUCUGUCUCGUGGGCCCGGUUCGCCAGUCGCCGAGCCGUUGCCCUGCACGCCCCUUUCUCCUCUCUCUGCGCCGUGGACCCUGCCUGUCAGUUCCGCCCCCUCCGCGCUCGCCGUGGACCGGCGUGUGUGCACUCGCGCACGUCGCCGGAUUUCUCGGCCAUGACGCCUGCCCACGCGCCCAGCUCCCUUCUUAGAGCCCUGCCAAUGCCCCGUACUCGCCCCCUGCCUCAUUUCGUGCAGCUCUGCCCUCUCUCGUGCUCUACCCUCGCUGCCAGCCGCCGCCGGAGACCCGCGCCCGCGUUCCCGACCAUCCAGCUCGCUGGAGACCGCGCCAAGCCUCCCCGAGCUCCGCCUCGAGGUGAGACACUCGUCUCCGUGCCCAAUUUCCCUUAUUGCGCUCUGUGCUCGGCCAAUUUCGCCUUCGCCGGUGCUCGGCCGCGGCGGUCCGCCGUGCUCGCGCGGUGGCCGGCCGAUUUAGCCCGGUCUAGUUCCCCGAAGUAGGUCCCUGUGUCACCCCUGCCUCUGCUGAAGCUAGCCUAGGCCUUAGCGCGCCUUAAAACCCCUCCCCGUGGCCGGAAUGGCUCACCGGAGUUACUCCGGCACGCCCGAGACCUUUUCACCGCCAUUCUCCCUUCUCUGCAUGUGGAUUCAUGGCCUCUUCCCCGCCAUUGAGUUCACCGUGGUGCCCUCUCCCUCCCUGCCCAACUCUGGCGACCCCAGAGCCACCCUAGCUCGCGCCAGCCUCAACUUCGGUGACCUCACCGUCGCGGAGAGGAGCGACGCCGCCCGCAGCCGUCUGUUUUCCCCUGGUCUGAUCCCCUCCGUCCGAUUCAGAUCAAACGGCUCGGACCACGGAUAACGCUUCGCGCACGCGUGCCCUGAUGCCUUGGCCCGCCUGUCAGCGCCCAAGUCCUCUGGCGCUGGGCCCGCUCGGUCAGUGCGCCCUCCCCCUCUGCCACUGACGCCCCUGGCCCGCUUGUCAGUGCUCGCCCGCCCACGCGUGCGCCCUCGGCCGCAGAUCUAAUCUCAGCCGUUGGUUUUAGAUCUGACGGUUAGAUUCACCCGAUACCCCUUCGCGUGGCUGUUUUAUUAAAGAGACCCUCGGUUUAUUGGAAAUCAACCCGCCGUCCCUAGUUUUCGCGCGCAGGCCCCUGUAAUCUUGCAGAUUGAACCUUGUACUUUUAAAUAUUCACAGAAUUAGCCCUAAUUUCAUAUUUUGAAUUCCCAACCUUGUUUAUUUCAUAACUUUUGCAUAUGAAUUCCAAAUUUAGUGAUUCAAAUUGUAAAAUGUUCAUAGAAUUAUUCUCUGUCCGAAUAAAAUGGUUUCAUUUACUGUCUGCACACUCUAUUUUUAGGAUUGAAUAUGAACUAGUGUAGAUGUAUUUUUAUUUAUUUGAUAAAAUAAAUAAAAGGAGAACCUUAAAGAUUUAAACAUGUGUAAGCUUGCGAGACUAAUAAUGUGUAUUACAUGAAAUCAUCUCUGGUCUAGAUUUAGGUCACAAUAAAAUAAGUUGAACUAUGUUUAUGUACUUGUAAGUAACACUUAGGGGAACAGUAACCUAUUUUCAAAUAAAGUUGAUAUAUGUUAUAGUUUAUGUUAUACUUUGAAUUCAUUAUCCCUUAUGUAGUACUGUGUCUUUUUAAGAGGUGUUCCAAUGUUUGUACAUGUUUGGCGUGAUGUUUAUUUGUACUUUCCAAAUGUAUUGAAUGCAUGCUCGCUUUAUUUAGACAACAAGCAGUCCGAGGUUCCUGAGUGUGUAGUUGGAGACCUCCCAGAGCAGCAACUUGGUGAAGGCAAGUGUCCUCUAACCCAUUAUGUCCUAUCUACUUAUAAUUCAUUGUACCGCAUUACUUAAUUCAAACCUAAGGAUCGACUAGCUUUCUAUUUACUUAUCCUUGUUUACCUUUUGGGUUAUCAUGGUUAGCUUUAUGCUAUUGCUUUACUUUAAUCAAUGAACAUGAUGUGAAUAUUAUGAUACGAUGAUGUUAUCCCGAUGAUGUUCUUGUGAUACUUUAGGGGACUCAGACUAUUUCCUGAGUACCUCUCCAUAAGGACCUGUUCAGGGAGUGACAACCCGGGAUAACAGUGCAACCAUGAGGGUGGAAUGGGACGCGCUUAGCUGAUUAAUUAGAGGAACCAGAGGAGUAGUUGGCUUCACUGUAGGGCCGUCAAUGGGGUCCGGGCACAGUACUUGCUCUGCCGAGGCUGGUUGCAGAGGUUCUUUGAUUUGGUUUUGUUAGUCACCCUUCCUUUGGGGAGAUGUAUUGUGUUUAUCAAACUGUAGAAACCUAACGGGCAGCUAUGACCUCUGGGAAAUCUUUGUAAAGGCUACGUAGUGAGACCCUGCUAGGUCACCUUGGUAGUGAUCAAUGGAGAGUCAUGAUCUCCAGUAGAAUGGGAAUCACGGCUUGUGGGUAAAGUGUGCGACCUCUGUAGAGGGUUAGAAACUGAUAUAUCAGCCGUGCUCACGGUUAUGAGCGGCCUUGGGAUCCUCUUUGAUUAGAGAUACAAAUGAUCUGAGAUACAAUGGUUCUAUUUAUUAUUUUGGUUCAAUGAUGAUAAUGAUGUUCCUCGAUGAGGAAAUGAUUCACGGGUUGGUUAUAUGAUAAAACUUGGCUUCCACUAAUAAUAAAUAUCUGAUCAACUAAAAGCAACUGCUUUGACCCUAACCCCAUAUAAAGCUAGUCCACUUCAGCCAAACGGGACAUUUGCUGAGUACGUUGAUGUGUACUCACCCUUGCUUUCACAAAACAUCAGGUUGCCUAUGGUGCAAUUUAUGCUCAGGUAAAGAAGAAGGCGUCGAGGCGGAUCUCCAGAAGUUACAGGACUUCGACGAGUUCAAUGAUUAGGCUAGCGACCUCCCCUAGUCAGCUGCCUAUGGUGGGUUUGUUUACGUUGACUACGUGUUUGAUUCUGUGUACUUUGAUUUAUAUUAUGUAAAUGACUCUAGUCUUUCAUAUUAUUACUUACUCUUUGUUGUUAUUCGAAGCAUUGUGCUAUAAUGAGUCAUUUAUGUAAUCGCCGUGUACGUGAAUUUCUGAUCCUGGCACGUACAUGGUUCGCAUUCGGUUUACCUUCCAAAACCGGGUGUGACAUCCCAUAUCUAGGGCAUGUAGCCAGUUAAGAUAGUCCUUGAUCAUAUAGGCCUAUAUACGCAUCCAAUCUUUAAUUAACCUGAGUGGAGCAUCACCUGUUCCUAGCCCAAGUCUCGAGUUAAGUACUUCUAUCUUUAGGAUUGUUUUGUGUUCCUAAGGAUGAAAAGAGCAUUAUAGGGAACUUUGCAGUAAGAUCCCAUCAUGCUCCCAAUGAAAAUAUUCUUGCAGGUAGAAGCCAUCGUUCCUCAGGAUAACCCCUGAGCUAGACAUUAUUGCAAAAGACAACCUCUAUCCACAAGAUCUAAGCAGGGCUAAGCAUUUUUAAACAAUAUUUGAUACUUCCAAAGAAGUAUCUAUAACAGAAAUGGAUAUCAAGGUAGUCAAUGCAUCAAAUAGUUUCCAAGCAAUUCCUAUAAACUUAAUGCACAUUUCACUAGACUUAAGUGUAUAAAAAUCUGUUUAAAAAAAUAUAAGGAAGGGGGUAAAUGCACCGGGGCUUGCCUGGAAUAAACACUACGUUAGUGUUUGUUAGACGAUGACCACUUGGCGACCAUCCUUUGUCUUGGCAUUCGUCAGAUUAUCCAUCUUCAGGUUCGUCCGACUGACGACAUCGUCUUGCGGAGAUGUCCACUCUCUCAUUAUUCUGGGGUCGACUUGGGUCGUCUUCCGCAUCACGUGAUUAAUUAUCGUAUCUAAAUGAAAUGUAUAAUGCACAUGUAUGAAUAUAAGAAGAACUAGCACAAUACUAGACGAUACGAUUAAAUCAACAUGUAUCGCCUUCGCUAAAAAUACGAGAAUCAUCGUAACCUACAUACCUAUCGAUCCAUUCAUUAAAACAAAAUUAUAAAAAUAGAGAAUUAGCUCACCAUAAUCAACUCGGCUCGAUCAUCGCACGAACGAUGAAGACGACCGGUAUCGGCGAGCGCGAGAGCAGUGCCCAGGCCAGAGAUAUGUAGCCCGACGACCUGGUAGUAGCUUCAACGGGAGAGUAGGAGGAAGAACUCACCGCCACAUGCAAGCAAAUCGACGUCAGGGAGCUAGGACGCGGG
Molecule: long non-coding RNA, 5729 nt
Filed under: Zea mays
Lineage: Eukaryota; Viridiplantae; Streptophyta; Magnoliopsida; Poales; Poaceae
Description: long non-coding RNA (ZMAY_LNC001283)
Source: RNAcentral